RNAcentral lists this ribosomal RNA (137 nucleotides) under uncultured eukaryote. Its description in RNAcentral is "partial 18S ribosomal RNA". It matches the Rfam family "Eukaryotic small subunit ribosomal RNA", at positions 1299 to 1458 of the family's 1831-position model. The record is from RNAcentral.
UGGUGGAGUGAUUUGUCUGCUUAAUUGCGAUAACGAACGAGACCUUAACCUGCUAAAUAGCCCGGGUGGCGUUCGCCGCUCGCUGGCUUCUUAGAGGGACUAUCGGCUCAAGCCGAUGGAAGUUUGAGGCAAUAACA